This 468-nucleotide ribosomal RNA is filed under the name uncultured bacterium. Its description in RNAcentral is "partial 16S ribosomal RNA". It matches the Rfam family "Bacterial small subunit ribosomal RNA", at positions 28 to 507 of the family's 1533-position model. The record is from RNAcentral.
GACGAACGCUGGCGGCGUGCUUAACACAUGCAAGUCGAACGGAAAGGCCCUGCUUUUGUGGGGUGCUCGAGUGGCGAACGGGUGAGUAACACGUGAGUAACCUGCCCUUGACUUUGGGAUAACUUCAGGAAACUGGGGCUAAUACCGGAUAGGAGCUCCUGCUGCAUAGUGGGGGUUGGAAAGUUUCGGCGGUUGGGGAUGGACUCGCGGCUUAUCAGCUUGUUGGUGGGGUAGUGGCUUACCAAGGCUUUGACGGGUAGCCGGCCUGAGAGGGUGACCGGCCACAUUGGGACUGAGAUACGGCCCAGACUCCUACGGGAGGCAGCAGUGGGGAAUAUUGCACAAUGGGCGGAAGCCUGAUGCAGCAACGCCGCGUGCGGGGUGACGGCCUUCGGGUUGUAAACCGCUUUCGCCUGUGACGAAGCGUGAGUGACGGUAAUGGGUAAAGAAGCACCGGCUAACUACGUG